CACAGGGCACCCUCUCCAGAGACCCUUUGCAACCAGGCUGGCUGUUGCUUCAAGGCCAGCAGAAGAAUCACUUCUUUUCAGUUCACCAUGAUAGUCAUAAAUUAUAUUAGCCAGUCAAGAAUGCCGCUUUCCAUAUUCAUCACCUGGUCAUGUUCUCAAGCCUCCAGAUGGUCUCCAAAAGAGCUCGAGAGAUGGCUAUGUUAAGUGGCUUACCAUACAAGUGUGAAGACCUAAGUUUGAAUGCCCAGAAUCCUCGUCAAGACAGGCGCAGUAACAUAUAUCACUAUAUUUGUUUUGGGAGAUCUGGGAUGGGUGGCAGGAGAACCCCAAAAGCUCAAAGACCAGUUCGGCUGGUUGAUGCAAUGAUGAACAACAAUGAUACCCUAUAGCAAAGCAAGAUGGGAGACGAGAAGAGAUACCCAAGCUUGUUUUUUGACCCACAUAAUAUGCCAUGGUAUUUGCAUGCCUGCACUCAUAC
Molecule: long non-coding RNA, 478 nt
Filed under: Cricetulus griseus (Chinese hamster)
Lineage: Eukaryota; Metazoa; Chordata; Mammalia; Rodentia; Cricetidae
Description: lncRNA (ENSCGRG00015030925.1)
Source: RNAcentral